UGCAGAAAUCCACAGCCAAAGAUUGGAUGG
Molecule: non-coding RNA, 30 nt
Filed under: Mus musculus (house mouse)
Lineage: Eukaryota; Metazoa; Chordata; Mammalia; Rodentia; Muridae
Source: RNAcentral